UGUAGUCAUAUGCUUGUCUCAAAGGUUAAUGCAUUCAUGUCUUAGUAUCAAAGAUUAACUCAUGCAAGUGAAGUAUAAACAAAUCAGUUAUAGUUUCUUUGGCAGUCGAUCUAAAUCAGCGAUAGUCCGUAGUAAUUCUAGAGCUACAUGAUGCGUCAAGGCCAGUUUGGGUCUAAAUCAUCCGAUCGAAUUUAUUAGAUCCGGGACAGUGCAAGUGUUGGUAGUCCAAGCGGCUCGUCUCACCGCUUCCUUGGUGAUUCAUAAUAAAUCACGAAUCGCAUGUCCUCGUCCCGGCGACGGUUCAUCAAAUAUCUGCCCUAUCACUUCGACAAGAGGAUCACG
This 342-nucleotide ribosomal RNA is filed under the name uncultured fungus. RNAcentral describes it as "partial 18S ribosomal RNA". It matches the Rfam family "Eukaryotic small subunit ribosomal RNA", at positions 21 to 338 of the family's 1831-position model. Lineage: Eukaryota; Fungi. The record is from RNAcentral.